UACGCAGCUGUACGAGCUCGAUCACUAGUAACUGCGCCAGGUUGCUGAUCGCGUAGAGUUGAUCUGCUCAGAUGACGCUGCGCAGCUUAACACAUGCAAGUCGAGCGGGGAAGGGUAGCUUGCUACCUGACCUAGCGGCGGACGGGUGAGUAAUGCUUAGGAAUCUGCCUAUUAGUGGGGGACAACAUUCCGAAAGGAAUGCUAAUACCGCAUACGCCCUACGGGGGAAAGCAGGGGAUCUUCGGACCUUGCGCUAAUAGAUGAGCCUAAGUCAGAUUAGCUAGUUGGUGGGGUAAAGGCCUACCAAGGCGACGAUCUGUAGCGGGUCUGAGAGGAUGAUCCGCCACACUGGGACUGAGACACGGCCCAGACUCCUACGGGAGGCAGCAGUGGGGAAUAUUGGACAAUGGGCGAAAGCCUGAUCCAGCCAUGCCGCGUGUGUGAAGAAGGCCUUUUGGUUGUAAAGCACUUUAAGCGAGGAGGAGGCUACUUGGAUUAAUACUCUAGGAUAGUGGACGUUACUCGCAGAAUAAGCACCGGCUAACUCUGUGCCAGCAGCCGCGGUAAUACAGAGGGUGCGAGCGUUAAUCGGAUUUACUGGGCGUAAAGCGUGCGUAGGCGGCUUUUUAAGUCGGAUGUGAAAUCCCUGAGCUUAACUUAGGAAUUGCAUUCGAUACUGGGAAGCUAGAGUAUGGGAGAGGAUGGUAGAAUUCCAGGUGUAGCGGUGAAAUGCGUAGAGAUCUGGAGGAAUACCGAUGGCGAAGGCAGCCAUCUGGCCUAAUACUGACGCUGAGGUACGAAAGCAUGGGGAGCAAACAGGAUUAGAUACCCUGGUAGUCCAUGCCGUAAACGAUGUCUACUAGCCGUUGGGGCCUUUGAGGCUUUAGUGGCGCAGCUAACGCGAUAAGUAGA
This 912-nucleotide ribosomal RNA is filed under the name uncultured bacterium. RNAcentral describes it as "bacterial SSU rRNA". It matches the Rfam family "Bacterial small subunit ribosomal RNA", at positions 1 to 868 of the family's 1533-position model. The record is from RNAcentral.